RNAcentral lists this unclassified non-coding RNA (2948 nucleotides) under Neodiprion pinetum (white pine sawfly). RNAcentral describes it as "elongation factor Tu, mitochondrial-like, transcript variant X1". The record is from RNAcentral. Lineage: Eukaryota; Metazoa; Arthropoda; Insecta; Hymenoptera; Diprionidae.
GGUAUAUUUACGUAACAACCUCUCCCUCCGCGAGUCGGCAGUUCUACCGGUCUUAUUGGGAAUCAAAGUUUCUUGGUUAGAAAAUCAUGGCGUUGGUUUCUGCUAGAGCAAUUUUCAGUCCAGUUCUCCGGCAGACGGUGAAACAAAUUAUCGGGAACCGUCAACUGACCAAAUACCGACAUGGCCGGCUCUGUGCAAGACUUUUAUUACCCACAGUAACAGCCCAGCGAUUUUAUGCCGAGAAAAAAGUAUUUCUUAGGGACAAGCCGCAUUGCAAUGUUGGAACCAUUGGCCACGUUGAUCAUGGCAAAACCACACUCACCGCAGCCAUCACCAAAGUACUCGCUGAGAAGGAAAUGGCCACCGCAAAGGCGUACAAUGAGAUCGACAAUGCGCCGGAGGAAAAGGCACGUGGAAUUACUAUUAAUGUAGCCCACAUUGAGUACCAAACUGAGAAUCGUCAUUAUUCACACACGGACUGCCCUGGACACGCCGAUUACAUAAAAAAUAUGAUCACUGGAACCUCUCAGAUGGACGGUGCCAUUCUCGUCGUCGCUGCCACCGAUGGUGCCAUGCCCCAAACAAGGGAGCACUUGCUUCUCGCUAAACAAAUCGGCAUCAACUACAUUGUCAUUUUUAUCAACAAGGUUGACGCAGCUGAUGAGGAAAUGGUUGAGUUGGUGGAGAUGGAAAUUCGCGAACUCAUGACAGAGAUGGGAUAUGACGGAGAAAAUGCGCCGAUCAUAAAGGGAAGCGCACUCUGUGCUCUUGAAGGAAAAAAACCUGAAAUUGGGUCUGAAUCAAUUACAAAGCUCCUCGAGGAAGUAGACAGGUACAUUCCUACUCCUGUUCGCGACCUGGAUAAGCCAUUCCUACUUCCAGUCGAACAAACCUAUUCCAUACCGGGCCGAGGGACUGUUGUAACAGGUCGAUUAGAGCGUGGAGUCCUGAAGAAGGGAAAUGAGUGCGAGUUGGUUGGUUAUGGUAAAGUUCUUAAAACUGUGGUAACAGGAGUAGAAAUGUUCCGACAAAUAUUGGAAGAGGCUCAGGCGGGAGAUCAGCUUGGAGCUCUUAUCCGAGGUGUUAAGAGGGAUGAUGUUAGAAGAGGCAUGAUACUUGCGAAACCUGGAACCGUCAAAGCACAGGAUCAGGUUGAGGCUCAAAUUUACGUUCUCAGCAAGGAAGAAGGGGGCAGGGCUAAGCCAGUUCUCAACUUCAUGCAAUUACAAAUGUUUUCAAAAACGUGGGAUUGUGCUACCCAAGUGCAAAUCCUUGAGAAGGAUAUGGUCAUGCCAGGAGAGGACACAAAGCUUCUACUGAAACUAUUUAAGCCAAUGGUAUGCGAACAAGGUCAACGGUUUACGAUACGAGAUGGAAUUGUAACUCUGGGAACAGGUGUCAUUACAAAAAUAUUGCCACCUCUGAAUGAAACCGAAAGGUUGGCACUUACUGAAGGAAAGAAGGCCCGUGAGAAGAAAUUAGCGAAAGCGAAUUAAUUUAGCAGUAAUACCGAACACACAUUCACAUUGUUAUCACUUUAAAGCUCGAAGGCAAUCCUAAAGGUUUCGUGUUCUGUCAGCGCGUAUAACUGAUAUUACAAAAAAAUGUGAUUCUCGAGAGUGACAUUCGUACCAUUGAACUUUGGAAGAAUGGUAAAGCAUGACGCCAAUUAUACCAUGAAACAUGAACCGAAUGUUGUUACUUUGAAGCUCCAGAUGUCCAGCCGCUUUUUUUUUUUUUUUUUACAUUUUCUUGUAAGUAAAACCAUUUUAAUUAUCAUACCGCUAGUGUAAGUAGUACCUGUAGAUAUUAUCGUCAAUAAAAUUGAGAAGAAAAUGUUCGGAUCGGUUUUCCUCAGCGAAUUUUUCAUUCAACCACAGCAAGCAACAUCUAAAUACUGAAAUAACAAUAAAUGGUAAAUGAAAAUGAAAAACGCAGAAGAAUCAGUUUCAUUGUUGAUUUAUUUAUUUCACAUGUAUUAGCGGUGUAAUUUUCUCUUCGCACAAAUCCUUCUCUAUUGAUUGAUAACGAAAGGAAGAAUUGAUCGAAAUUACAACGUUCAAAAAUUCAAUACUACUACAUAAUGUAAUGUUUAAAGUGAUGUUAACAUUGUUACAAAAAGAAGUAAUCAAAAUUUUCCACACAGUUUGUGUAAAGAAGUCUGUCACACAAAUUUUCUAUUUACGUUAAUCAAAGAAAAUAAAAAUAAAAAACGAAUAGAAUAAAUUAACUGGUUCGAGUACACAAGAAAAAAAACUGUAGGUAAUUUUUGUUACAAUUUAAAUUCAAGCCGAACAAAGCAUACAUACACUUUCGCUUAUAAAAAUAGUAAACAGUCCUCAAGAACGUGGAAAGACGCAAACAUACUCUGUCCAUACGAGUACAAUUCAUGGAACGAUAUUACAUAGUUUAGUAAUUAUUUAUUAAUAAUCUACCCUUUCAAGCACACACUCGCAGACAACAGACAAUCCCUAAAGUAGCCGGUUACUCCCAAUAAAUACCAUUGUUACUUUUUUUUUUGGAACCAUUCUUCUUGUAAUUUUAAAUUCAGUUUAGUUCACAGUGAGCUAACACGCAUUCUUAUGCAAUCGAAGGACUUUUUCUUUGCAAAAGUAUCUUUCGUGUAUAUUACGAUUCAUGUUAUAAUUAAUCCUUGUCAUUAAAAAUAAGUCAAGAAUUUAACACAUGUUUCAGUAUACGGUUCUAAUUUUGAAAAUAAAGCAAAACCAUUGAUUAUUAAAUAAGUUAAAUGUAUUUUAGUAUCCACAAAUACAACAAUUGUAACCAGCAUACAAGAAAAAAAAUGAUUGCAGAAAAAAGUAGACGUUAAAAAUUAUGCAGUCGAUGCAUUAUUCACAAUAAAAAAUUUUAAAGUGAACAAUCACAAAAAUAUCCAACUUUAAAACGCGCUAAUUUCAUAAUCGAAUAACUACAAUGUUAUCAGAAUA